This 497-nucleotide ribosomal RNA is filed under the name uncultured bacterium. RNAcentral's name for it is "partial 16S ribosomal RNA". It matches the Rfam family "Bacterial small subunit ribosomal RNA", at positions 28 to 507 of the family's 1533-position model. The record is from RNAcentral.
GAUGAACGCUGGCGGCGUGCCUAAUACAUGCAAGUCGAGCGAACAGACGAGGAGCUUGCUCCUCUGCCGUUAGCGGCGGACGGGUGAGUAACACGUGGAUAACCUACCUAUAAGACUGGGAUAACUUCGGGAAACCGGAGCUAAUACCGGAUAAUAUAUUGAACCGCAUGGUUCAAUAGUGAAAGACGGUUUUGCUGUCACUUAUAGAUGGAUCCGCGCCGCAUUAGCUAGUUGGUAAGGUAACGGCUUACCAAGGCGACGAUGCGUAGCCGACCUGAGAGGGUGAUCGGCCACACUGGAACUGAGACACGGUCCAGACUCCUACGGGAGGCAGCAGUAGGGAAUCUUCCGCAAUGGGCGAAAGCCUGACGGAGCAACGCCGCGUGAGUGAUGAAGGCCUUCGGAUCGUAAAACUCUGUUAUUAGGGAAGAACAAAUGUGUAAGUAACUAUGCACGUCUUGACGGUACCUAAUCAGAAAGCCACGGCUAACUACGUG